RNAcentral lists this ribosomal RNA (498 nucleotides) under Triticum aestivum (bread wheat). RNAcentral describes it as "partial small subunit ribosomal RNA". Lineage: Eukaryota; Viridiplantae; Streptophyta; Magnoliopsida; Poales; Poaceae. The record is from RNAcentral.
AUGGGUGGUGGCCCUAAGCGAGGGAUAGAUGUGGCGGACUAUGCUCUAAUUGAAUAUGACAUGAGGAUUAAGAGAGGCAGACAAGAAAGAGAUGACCUACAACUGAUCGAUGGAGCAAUAUCCUUAGGCCCCCGCGGGACAUGGAAUCGGCCGUUCACAUAUAACAUCUCUAACGAUUGUGGCGACGCAGUUGACAUAACUUUAGCUCGUCUUUCUUGCGCGGUCGAGGCGACCGUAGAGGUUCUCAUAUCGGAAGUGCAGAACGGUUUCCAUAUGUCUCUCAGAUGUUUUACCAGUGGGUUUGAUACGGAGAUCCGGCUCUUUGAUGGCACUGUUGUCAAGUCUUGCGGCUUGAAGAGUUUUUUCUCCUUUGUUUUCUCUGUUUUCUCCCUGGUUUUCUCUGUCCCGCUUGUAGUUUGCACCCCCUGUUCCUUCUAUAAUGCUAAAGCAGAGCUCCGGCUGGUUCGGGUAAAAAAGAAGACUCCUGUUGAGGAGUGA